ACAGGGCUGUGCUCCUGCCUCUCUAGGGAGGAUUCUGCAUGUGGCGGUGUGUACUUUAGCAGAUAGAUGAGCGAAACUGUGGUCCCGGGGAACCAGCCUCUUUGGAACUUAGCGGGUGACUGAAAUUGGGCUCUCUCCCUGGAAGGAAGCAGCUGAGACAAAGCCACUUAAGUCUCAGUGUUCCACCUCUUCUACCUUGAGGCUCUCAGGCUGUCGUUUGGGGGUCCACCCUCAUUCAGGGUAGUUCUCUUUUGUUUUUUUGCAGUUAAAAGUUAUUUGGGUUGUUACUUUUCAUUGGAGCAGAGCAGCCCCUGUUUAUUUCAAUAACAUCAAAAUGUAGACAAGAAAAAGAAGCCACCCUCAGCAAUACUGAAACUGUCAAAGGGCCUUCCAGGAAGGCAUGCAGCAACAUACGGCAUGUCCAUGUCCAACACAACAUAUGUGUCCUGUGCCUGAUGCUUCAUACAUAAAUGUUACAUAAAUGUAUUUGUCUGUCACAAUACCACACUUAUUCUUUGAUAACAUGUGUCUUUAUGUCUUGCUAGAACAGCUUUCUAGAUCAACUAGCUUUUCUUAAAAAAAAAAAAAAAGCCAUAUAAAGUCUUUUCUUACAGAAGGGAAACCCAGGCCCCAAAAUGUAAGGUGGUUUAUAAAAAGUGGGUCAUUUAAAUAAUUUAAUAUCAAGAGAUCAAGCUAAGUGGUUACAAUUACAAUGGAAAGACUGCUCAACUGCUCAACACUGCCACGAUGAUGAUUAUUAUUUUCUUGACCAUGAGUUACAUGAAUCUGAAGUAGCUGUGAAAGUGCUCACAGACACCCUCACUGAUUCACCUACUCUCACAAAUCCAUACAUAGAAGCACUGAUAAACAUGCUUGUGCAAGUCUAUCCUCAAGGUAAUUACCCAUAAGAUUAAAGGCUAUGUAGGUUACCAAGACCCCCAAGUAGGCUGCCCUGUUAACUGCAUGAUCCCUGGAUGUCACAGUCUAGAAGAAGUACUCCCAGGCUAUUGCCCAGGUGACUGUAUAUAUGUGUCUCCAGGCUUGGUAGCUCUGACUUCCUUUCCCUUGCCCCGAACAGGCAUACUCCUAAGCGAGUUAAUCAGCUGGCGGAUGAGGGAAGGCUGCUAUGUUGUUUGGGUUUGAUAUUGCAGUCCAUCUCCAUCUCACAAUUCCUCACUGACUGCUGAGAAACGGCCCCUCCAUCAGCUCCCAUUUUUAGAGCAGCCGUUGGUGCAAGAUGUCAAACUGGAGGUUGAGAAGACAAAGAUGAAAGGAAUAGAAACACUCUCCUGAGAAAGAUCCCAGCCUCAAGAAAUCCAGUGACUCAUAACAUGCAUCUACUCUGAAGUCUCUCGGAGGAAGAAGAGAAAUGCAAGUUGUACAUUCCAGGGCCGAAAUUUUGGGGAAAAUCCAUGAAGUGUCCAAAGGGAAGGCAUGAAAAUCACACGUGAUCCAUUGUGCCCUUCAGCACAGCCAUGGUUCCUGAGUGUCGGUUAGCAGCAAGCCAGCCUGGCUGGAUGUGUCCAUCCUCACCAGAUAGCCCUUCCAGGAAGGCCUUGCCUUUCACUUGUACCUCUAGAGACCCUGGUACGAAAUCAUACAACUUAUUCUGAAAUCUGUUACAUGUGAACUCCCAAUGGAAUAAACAAAAUUAAAGGUCUCCCUCUAACACAGUCCUCCAGGCUCUUAGACAUCUCUGCUCCUCUCCACCAUGAGACCACGGCCCACCUUUGGCAGGAUUCCAGGCACAAUCUGAACAGCCUCAGACUAGUUCAUGGAGGAGCCUCCCGAGAUCCUGGCCAGGUCAGCUCACCCUUCCAGGAAGAAGAGCCAAGCGUGAGAGGAGGGAGCCGUGGCCGGCGUGGACAUGAAUGCUGGCUUUCAAAGAGAACGGUGUUUGAGUUUUGGUCAUCGGAAGUGGUGCCUUCAGCAC
Sorex fumeus (smoky shrew) is the source of this 1933-nucleotide long non-coding RNA. RefSeq lists it as uncharacterized. The transcript is spliced from 3 exons. The record is from RefSeq and is a predicted model, not a curated record. NCBI's taxonomy places the organism in Eukaryota, Metazoa, Chordata, Mammalia, Eulipotyphla, Soricidae.